GAUUCAUUGUCUGCUCUGAUAACAGCAUAUGCCUUCCUAAAACUAUCAGGUUAUUUAAAAAGCAGCUACACUAUGUCUUCCAGCUGUGUUUGAUGACGAUACUUCUCUCCGCUUCUCCACUAAGCACACAGAUGCUGUUGGACCCCACAUCCUCAUUACCUGCAGAGAGGGGCUGCCACUCAGAUACACCAAAAUACACAGUGAUUGAUGGUGAAGACAUCAUAUAGGAUUGUGCAGGUAUUUUAGUCUUCAUUACAUCUAUUUUGUGUUUCCAUAAAA
Long non-coding RNA from Myxocyprinus asiaticus (Chinese sucker), 279 nucleotides. RefSeq lists it as uncharacterized. The transcript has 3 exons. The record is from RefSeq and is a predicted model, not a curated record. Lineage: Eukaryota; Metazoa; Chordata; Actinopteri; Cypriniformes; Catostomidae.